GGGCUGCUAGCUUCAAUUGGAUAGAGCGCUGCGCUUCGGACGCAGAGGUUGGGGGUUCGAGUCCCUCGUGGCCCG
RNAcentral lists this transfer RNA (75 nucleotides) under uncultured marine thaumarchaeote KM3_88_D08. RNAcentral's name for it is "tRNA-Arg". It matches the Rfam family "tRNA". From Rfam's summary of the family: Transfer RNA (tRNA) molecules are approximately 80 nucleotides in length. Their secondary structure includes four short double-helical elements and three loops (D, anti-codon, and T loops). Further hydrogen bonds mediate the characteristic L-shaped molecular structure. tRNAs have two regions of fundamental functional importance: the anti-codon, which is responsible for specific mRNA codon recognition, and the 3' end, to which the tRNAs corresponding amino acid is attached (by aminoacyl-tRNA synthetases). tRNAs cope with the degeneracy of the genetic code in two manners: having more than one tRNA (with a specific anti-codon) for a particular amino acid; and 'wobble' base-pairing, i.e. permitting non-standard base-pairing at the 3rd anti-codon position. The record is from RNAcentral. Lineage: Archaea; Thermoproteati; Nitrososphaerota.